GACGAACGCUGGCGGCGUGCCUAACACAUGCAAGUCGAGCGAUUCUCUUCGGAGAAGAGCGGCGGACGGGUGAGUAACGCGUGGGUAACCUGCCUUGUACACACGGAUAACAUACCGAAAGGUAUGCUAAUACGAGAUAAUAUGCUUUUAUCGCAUGGUAGAAGUAUCAAAGCUUUUGCGGUACAGGAUGGACCCGCGUCUGAUUAGCUAGUUGGUAAGGUAACGGCUUACCAAGGCGACGAUCAGUAGCCGACCUGAGAGGGUGAUCGGCCACAUUGGAACUGAGACACGGUCCAAACUCCUGCGGGAGGCAGCAGUGGGGAAUAUUGCACAAUGGGCGAAAGCCUGAUGCAGCAACGCCGCGUGAGCGAUGAAGGCCUUCGGGUCGUAAAGCUCUGUCCUCAAGGAAGAUAAUGACGGUACUUGAGGAGGAAGCCCCGGCUAACUACGUGCCAGCCGCCGCAGUAA
Molecule: ribosomal RNA, 468 nt
Filed under: uncultured bacterium
Lineage: Bacteria
Description: partial 16S ribosomal RNA
Rfam family: Bacterial small subunit ribosomal RNA
Source: RNAcentral